AUUGAACGCUGGCGGAAUGCUUUACACAUGCAAGUCGAACGGCAGCACGGGGCAACCUGGUGGCGAGUGGCGAACGGGUGUGUAAUACAUCGGAACGUGCCCAAUCGUGGGGAUAACGUAGCGAAAGUUACGCUAAUACCGCAUACGAUCUACGGAUGAAAGCGGGGGAUCGCAAGACCUCGCGCGAGUGGAGCGGCCGAUGUCAGAUUAGGUAGUUGGUGGGGUAAAGGCUCACCAAGCCAACGAUCUGUAGCUGGUCUGAGAGGACGACCAGCCACACUGGAACUGAGACACGGUCCAGACUCCUACGGGAGGCAGCAGUGGGGAAUUUUGGACAAUGGGCGCAAGCCUGAUCCAGCCAUUCCGCGUGCAGGAUG
RNAcentral lists this ribosomal RNA (377 nucleotides) under uncultured bacterium. RNAcentral's name for it is "bacterial SSU rRNA". It matches the Rfam family "Bacterial small subunit ribosomal RNA", at positions 30 to 410 of the family's 1533-position model. The record is from RNAcentral.